GAUUGCAUCUUAGAACUUGGUCCAUCCAAAUGGAUGUGGACUAGGAUUCUAGACUAAAUAUUACAAGUUUUCUAUAUGUUACCUUAAUUGGUUGCAUAUAGUAGCUAGUAAGUUUACCUUGAAAAAAUUAGAGUGCUCAAUGCGGGCUUAAUGCCUGAAUACUCGUGCAUGGAAUAAUAAAAUAGGAUCUUGGUUCUAUUUUGUUGGUUUUCUGAUCUAAGAUAAUGGUUAAGAGGGACGGACGGGGGCAUUCGUAUCGCUACGUGAGAGGUGAAAUUCUUGGACCGUAGCGAGACGUACAACUGCGAAAGCAUUUGCCAAGAAUGUCUUCAUUAAUCAGGAACGAAAGUCAGAGGUUCGAAGGCGAUCAGAUACCGCCCUAGUUCUGACCGUAAACGAUACCAACUAGCGUUCCGUCGGCGGUAAAUACGCCUUGA
RNAcentral lists this ribosomal RNA (437 nucleotides) under Dirofilaria immitis (dog heartworm nematode). RNAcentral describes it as "SSU rRNA". It matches the Rfam family "Eukaryotic small subunit ribosomal RNA", at positions 634 to 1079 of the family's 1831-position model. The record is from RNAcentral. Lineage: Eukaryota; Metazoa; Nematoda; Chromadorea; Rhabditida; Onchocercidae.